AACCCCAAUUAAUAGAAUUACGGCGUAAAACGUGUUUUAGAAUUUCAAUUAACUAAAGUCAAACCCUAGCUAUGCUGUAAAAAGCCCUAGCUACCGUAAGAUCUACCACGAAAGUGACUUUAAACACUCUGAACACACGACAGCUAAGACCCAAACUGGGAUUAGAUACCCCACUAUGCUUAGCCUUAAACCUAGAAAAUUAUUAUAACAAGAUUCUUUGCCAGAGUACUACAAGCCAAAGCUUAAAACUUAAGGGACUUGGCGGUGCUUCAUAUCCCCCUAGAGGAGCCUGUUCUAUAAUCGAUAAACCCCGAUAAACCUCACCAAUUCUUGCCAAUC
RNAcentral lists this ribosomal RNA (339 nucleotides) under Mimon bennettii (Southern golden bat). RNAcentral describes it as "partial 12S ribosomal RNA". It matches the Rfam family "Bacterial small subunit ribosomal RNA", at positions 533 to 989 of the family's 1533-position model. The record is from RNAcentral. Lineage: Eukaryota; Metazoa; Chordata; Mammalia; Chiroptera; Phyllostomidae.